This 458-nucleotide ribosomal RNA is filed under the name uncultured bacterium. Its description in RNAcentral is "bacterial SSU rRNA". It matches the Rfam family "Bacterial small subunit ribosomal RNA", at positions 30 to 507 of the family's 1533-position model. The record is from RNAcentral.
AUUGAACGCUGGCGGCAUGCUUUACACAUGCAAGUCGAACGGACCUAGGGGCUUGCUCCUAGGUUAGUGGCGAACGGGUGAGUAAUGCAUCGGAACGUACCGUGUAAUGGGGGAUAACGCAGCGAAAGUUGUGCUAAUACCGCAUACGAUCUACGGAUGAAAGCAGGGGAUCGCAAGACCUUGCGUUAUACGAGCGGCCGAUGUCGGAUUAGCUAGUUGGUAGGGUAAAGGCCUACCAAGGCAACGAUCCGUAGCGGGUCUGAGAGGACGAUCAGCCACACGGGAACUGAGAAACGGUCCCGACUCCUACGGGGGGCAGCAGUGAGGAAUAUUGGGCAAUGGACGAAAGUCUGACCCAGCAACGCCGCGUGGAGGAUGAAGGUUUUUGGAUUGUAAACUCCUUUUGUGGGGGAAGAGUGAGGACGGUACCCCAAGAAUAAGUCACGGCUAACUACGUG